Molecule: unclassified non-coding RNA, 931 nt
Filed under: Homo sapiens (human)
Lineage: Eukaryota; Metazoa; Chordata; Mammalia; Primates; Hominidae
Description: SURF1 cytochrome c oxidase assembly factor (ENSG00000280627.3)
Source: RNAcentral
GCCACAUUUUCCAUUCAGGGUAGCAAACAGUAUGCCAGAUUUGGCUUGCAGAUGGGGUUUUGGCCCACAUAUUUUUUAAAAUUUCACAUAAAAUAUUCAUUGAGGAGUCCAGAUUUUUAGCCUCUCUUGUAAAGUUGGACUCUGGCAGUGCAGAUCCACAUUCCCACAUGGCAUCAAAGUUCCCCUUUGAAGAGCACGCCCUUUGCCUUUCUCCUUCACUUGUCUGGCCCUGGUGGGCUGUGUAGUCUGCCACCCUCAGGGGAUUCGUUUUCCAGCCAAACCUUGCUCGGCCACUGUUCUUAUCUCCAUGCAGCCCAAUGGAACUGAAAAAUCUGGAGUAUAGGCCAGUGAAGGUCAGGGGGUGCUUUGACCAUUCCAAGGAGCUGUAUAUGAUGCCCCGGACCAUGGUGGACCCUGUCCGGGAGGCCCGGGAGGGCGGCCUCAUCUCCUCCUCAACUCAGAGUGGGGCCUAUGUGGUCACUCCCUUCCACUGCACCGACCUGGGAGUCACCAUCCUGGUAAAUAGAGGGUUCGUUCCCAGGAAGAAAGUGAAUCCUGAAACCCGGCAGAAAGGCCAGAUUGAGGGAGAAGUGGACCUCAUUGGGAUGGUGAGGCUGACAGAAACCAGGCAGCCUUUUGUCCCUGAGAACAAUCCAGAAAGGAACCACUGGCAUUAUCGAGACCUGGAAGCUAUGGCCAGAAUCACAGGCGCAGAGCCCAUCUUCAUUGAUGCCAACUUCCAGAGCACAGUCCCUGGAGGACCCAUUGGAGGGCAAACCAGAGUUACUCUGAGGAACGAGCAUCUGCAGUACAUCGUGACCUGGUAUGGACUCUCUGCAGCUACAUCCUACCUGUGGUUUAAGAAAUUCCUACGUGGGACACCUGGUGUGUGACAGAUCAGCUGCUGAAGCCCUGUCCCUGGAUAAUGCAG